RNAcentral lists this ribosomal RNA (208 nucleotides) under uncultured bacterium. Its description in RNAcentral is "partial 16S ribosomal RNA". It matches the Rfam family "Bacterial small subunit ribosomal RNA", at positions 568 to 774 of the family's 1533-position model. The record is from RNAcentral.
UGCGUAGGUGGUGAGGUAAGUCGGAUGUGAAAUCUCCGAGCUCAACUCGGAAACUGCAUUGGAAACUACCUUGCUAGAGGGUUGGAGGGGGGACUGGAAUACUUGGUGUAGCAGUGAAAUGCGUAGAUAUCAAGUGGAACACCAGUGGCGAAGGCGAGUCCCUGGACAACUCCUGACACUGAUGCACGAAAGGCUAGGGGAGCAAACA